This 1937-nucleotide long non-coding RNA is filed under the name Homo sapiens (human). Lineage: Eukaryota; Metazoa; Chordata; Mammalia; Primates; Hominidae. The record is from RNAcentral.
ACCCCUAUCUCCCUUCGCUGACUCUCUUCGGACUCGGCCCGCCUGCACCCAGGUGAAAUAAACAGCCUUAUUGCUCACACAAAGCCUGUUUGGUGGUCUCUUCACAUGGAUGUGAGUGAAAUUUGGUGCCGUGACUCAGAUCAGCGGACCUCCCUUGGGAAAUCAAUACCCUGUCCUCCUGCUCUUUGCUCUGUGAGAAAGAUCCACCUACAACCUCUGGUCCUCAGACCAACCAGCCCAAGGAACAUCUCACCAAUUUUAAAUCCGAGACAAAGAAGACACGUUUUAUCCGUGGACCCAAUACACCGGCGCUGGCCACAGACUGGGAAGGCAGCCUUCCCUUGGUGUUUAAUCAUUGCAGGGGCAUCUCUCUGAUUAUUCACCCAGGUUUCAGAGGUGCCAGACCAGGAAGGGAUGCCUGCCUUGGUCCUUCACCCUUAGCGGCAAGUCCCGCAUUUCUAGGGGAGGGGCAGGAAACCUGACCUCUUAUCUCUGUGCCCCAAUCCCAUAUUUCCAUGCCCCGACCUCUUAUCUCUGCUCCCUGAUCCCUUAUUUCUGUGCCCCGACCCCUUCUCUGCUUUUCUGGAGGGCAAGAACCCCCCACCCCUUCUCCAUGUCUCUACUCUCUUUUCUCUGGGCUUGCCUCCUUCACUAUGGGCAAGCUUCCACCUUCCAUUCCUCCUUCUUCUCCCUUAGCCUGUGUUCUUAAGAACUUAAAACCUCUUCAACUCUCACCUGGCCUAAAACCUAAGCGUCUUAUUUUCUUCUGCAAUGCUACUUGACCCCAAUACAAACUCGACAGUAGUUCCAAAUAGCCGGAAAAUGGCAAUUUCAAUUUUUCCAUCCUACAAGAUCUAAAUAAUUCUUGUCUUAAAAUAGGCAAACGGUCUGAGGUGCCUGAUGUCCAGGCAUUCUUUCACACAUCGAUCCUUCUCUAGUCUCUGUUCCCAAUGCAACUCAUCCCAAAUCUUCCUUCUUUCCCUCCCACUGGUCCCCUCAGUCCCAACCCCAAGCAUCGCUGAGUCUUUCUAAAUCUUCCUUUUCUACAGACCCAUCUGACCUCUCCCCUCCUCGCCAGGCCGAGCUAGGUCCUAAUUCUUCCUCAGCCUCGGCUCCUCCACCCUAUAAAUCCUUUUAUCACCUCCCCUCCUCAAACCUGGUCUGGCUUACAGUUUCAUUCCAUGACUAGCCCCUCCCCCACCUGCCCAGCAAUUUACUCUUAAAAAGCUGGCUGGAGCUAAAGGCAUAAUCAGGGUUAAUGCUCCUUUUUCUUUAUCCCAAAUCAGAUAGCAUUUAGGCUCUUAUUCAUAAAAUAUAAAAACUCAGCCCAGUUCAUGGCUCGUUUGGCAGCAACCCUGAGAUGCAUUACAGCCCUAGACCCUAAAAGGUCAAAAGGCCGUCUUAUUCUCAAAAUACAUUUUAUUACCCAAUCUGCUCCCGACAUUAAAUAAAACUCCAAAAAUUAAAUUCCAGCCCUCAAACCCCACAACAAGACUUAAUUAACCUCUCCUUCAAGGUGUACAAUAAUAAAGGCAGCCAAGUAGCAACAUAUUUCUGAGUGGAGGCAAUUCCUUGCCUCCACUGUGAGACAAACCCCAGCCACAUCUCCAGCACACAAGAACUUUCAAACGCCUAAACCGCAGUGGCCAGGCAUUCCUCCAGAAACGCCUCCCCCAGGAGCUUGCUACAAGUGCCAGAAAUCUGGCCACCAGGCCAAGGAAUGCCUGCAGCCUGGGAUUCCUCCUAAGCCGUGUCCCAUCUGUGCGGGACCCCACUGGAAAUCGGACGUUCAACUCACCUGGCAGCCACUCCCAGAGCCCGUGGAACUCUGGCCCAAGGCUCUCUGACUGACUCCUUCCAAGAUCUUCUCAGCUUAGCGGCUGAAGACUGACGCUGCCCAAUCGCCUCGGAAGCCCCGGAGACCAUCACGGACGCCA